GACGAACGCUGGCGGCGUGCUUAACACAUGCAAGUCGAACGGUGAAGCGCCUUCCUUUUUGGUGGGUGUGGAUGAGUGGCGAACGGGUGAGUAACACGUGAGUAACCUGCCCCCUUCUUCUGGAUAAUCGCAUGAAAGUGUGGCUAAUACGGGAUAUUCUGGGUCUGUCGCAUGAUGGGUCUGGGAAAGAUAUUGUUUCGGUGGGGGAUGGGCUCGCGGCCUAUCAGCUUGUUGGUGGGGUGAUGGCCUACCAAGGCGGUGACGGGUAGCCGGCCUGAGAGGGUGGACGGUCACACUGGGACUGAGACACGGCCCAGACUCCUACGGGAGGCAGCAGUGGGGAAUAUUGCACAAUGGGCGCAAGCCUGAUGCAGCGACGCCGCGUGAGGGAUGGAGGCCUUCGGGUUGUGAACCUCUUUCGCCAGUGAAGCAGGCCUGCCUCGUUUGUGGGUGGGUUGACGGUAGCUGGAUAAGAAGCGCCGGCUAACUACGUG
RNAcentral lists this ribosomal RNA (494 nucleotides) under uncultured bacterium. RNAcentral describes it as "partial 16S ribosomal RNA". It matches the Rfam family "Bacterial small subunit ribosomal RNA", at positions 28 to 507 of the family's 1533-position model. The record is from RNAcentral.